Molecule: long non-coding RNA, 555 nt
Filed under: Sinocyclocheilus anshuiensis
Lineage: Eukaryota; Metazoa; Chordata; Actinopteri; Cypriniformes; Cyprinidae
Description: lncRNA (ENSSANG00000046800.1)
Source: RNAcentral
AAACACUUGAACGUCCACAGCGUGCGACGCCGGCAUUACGUCAUGACGUUGUUGCUGGCGGUAUUUUUGUUUGGCAUAUACAGUGUUUAGUGCCAAAUUUCGGGUGUAGCAUAGCAUUCACUUAAAAGAAAAGCCAUUGAUGACUCCAGCACCAUCAAAGCAGACAGAAAUGGAGCGGGAAGCCCAGUCCUCUCAGUCUUCAGAGGCUGCUGCAAAAGCAGUGUUGUUAGAGGAGUGCGAGGAGCAGUUUGGACUGCUUCAGAAGCUUCAAAAUGAGAUAAUUCUGGCAGAUACAGAGGCUAAUGAUGAUCAAUCAAAUGAGGUUUGUCCUUCUCCUUUCACUACUUUUGAGUUAAAAAAUUAGCUGUGCAUAUUAACGUUGCUUUUCAGUUCAGACAUAAAUAUUCACAAAUUACUUUAAUCAUCUUUUUUAUUUUUUUGGUGGGCAGGCAGUGAAUCGCCUGAUUGCAAUCACAUCUGAGCUAGAGCAAUGGCAAGAAAUGGAACCAAAAUGUAAGCUAUUAUCUGUUGUUUUAUGUACUAUUUCAAUUUAGA